UGUCCUUAAGGUGCUCGGGAACCUCAAACCACACCUGUAUUUAACCGUUUAUUAGUUUAGUUUUUCGAGAAAUCAACAAUGUAAUACAUAAUAUUAUUUUGUAAACUCACCGACAUCGCGUUGUGGACCAUGUCCUUAACCUCCUGCGGGACCUCGCCCCAGUCUGACCACAACAUAGGGACUCUAUCCCUAAUGAGCGCUCCCACGCGGCCGGAGUACGUCCUCGACUUCCCGCCCGAUACUAUGUGGCCAUCCCCGUCAGUAUUGAUGACGAUCCUCCCCACGGUACCCACGAUCUUCUCGAGAGCCUUCCCUGUGACGGGGCCUCUCUUCUUCUUUGUCGGCUUCGCUCCGACGGUGCCUAUCACAUGAUAAACCAAAUUGAUUAUUUAAAUCGGAGACCCUUUAAAAAUAAUCAUGCAUCACUGAUUACCUGAGGCGCUCGCGGCGGACACGACGGAUUCCGUCUCUGUCGCCGAUGAUGAUACCCUCGCAGAAAUAAGAGGCGUAUCAAAAGGCACGAACCGGUACGCCGCUGAUGGAGCCACUGGCGGGGGCAGUGGAUAAAUCGGCGUCCCUGAGUCAUCGACUACAGGUAUGGCCGGUAUCAUCUGCGGAAGGAAUAGGUGAGGCGGCGGCAUCUGUACCCCAGAUGACCCACUAUCCGAAGAAGUAGGAGCUGGAGUGGGCGCCCGGUGUAUCUCAGGCAUACGNNNNNNNN
This 721-nucleotide long non-coding RNA is filed under the name Fragaria vesca (wild strawberry). Its description in RNAcentral is "long non-coding RNA (FVES_LNC001498)". The record is from RNAcentral. Lineage: Eukaryota; Viridiplantae; Streptophyta; Magnoliopsida; Rosales; Rosaceae.